AUUGAACGCUGGCGGCAGGCCUAACACAUGCAAGUCGAGCGGAUGAAGGGAGCUUGCUCCUGGAUUCAGCGGCGGACGGGUGAGUAAUGCCUAGGAAUCUGCCUGGUAGUGGGGGAUAACGUCCGGAAACGGGCGCUAAUACCGCAUACGUCCUGAGGGAGAAAGUGGGGGAUCUUCGGACCUCACGCUAUCAGAUGAGCCUAGGUCGGAUUAGCUAGUUGGUGGGGUAAAGGCCUACCAAGGCGACGAUCCGUAACUGGUCUGAGAGGAUGAUCAGUCACACUGGAACUGAGACACGGUCCAGACUCCUACGGGAGGCAGCAGAGGGGAAUAUUGGACAAAGGGCGAAAGCCUGAUCCAGCCAUGCCGCGUGUGUGAAGAAGGUCUUCGGAUUGUAAAGCACUUUAAGUUGGGAGGAAGGGCAGUAAGUUAAUACCUUGCUGUUUUGACGUUACCAACAGAAUAAGCACCGGCUAACUUCGUG
This 484-nucleotide ribosomal RNA is filed under the name uncultured bacterium. RNAcentral describes it as "partial 16S ribosomal RNA". It matches the Rfam family "Bacterial small subunit ribosomal RNA", at positions 30 to 507 of the family's 1533-position model. The record is from RNAcentral.